Molecule: ribosomal RNA, 114 nt
Filed under: Salmonella enterica subsp. enterica serovar Infantis
Lineage: Bacteria; Pseudomonadati; Pseudomonadota; Gammaproteobacteria; Enterobacterales; Enterobacteriaceae
Also listed under: 67 other names
Source: RNAcentral
UGGCGGCACUAGCGCGGUGGUCCCACCUGACCCCAUGCCGAACUCAGAAGUGAAACGCCGUAGCGCCGAUGGUAGUGUGGGGUCUCCCCAUGCGAGAGUAGGGAACUGCCAGGC